Molecule: long non-coding RNA, 2016 nt
Organism: Brienomyrus brachyistius
Lineage: Eukaryota; Metazoa; Chordata; Actinopteri; Osteoglossiformes; Mormyridae
Exons: 3
Source: RefSeq, a predicted model, not a curated record
AUGAAAAAAUAAUAACACACACACACAAACACACACACACACACACACACACACACACACACACACACACGCACACACACACACACCAGAGUAGUACAUGCAUAUCGUAUAUCACCAAGCACCUGUUUCUGUCUUCAGACCUUUCCGUGUUUAUAUUUAGCCGUUUACGAGCCACCAUUACCUGAAAAGGUGCCCCAGAACACUUGCAGUUCUAAUGCCUCGAGAUUUCUGUUUCAGUCUGAGUCUGUUAUUACUACGUGUGUUGGAAACUGUUGAAAGGAUAAGCGAACACGCCUUCUGGGGGGAGACGUGAAAGCCAGAGCGGAUCCUUGGUCUGACUCAGGACCGCCCUUCCCCCCUUUCCCCAGAGUCACCGUAGACGUGGAAUGACGCAUCCUCUGACGCUGGAGUGGGGGUGGAGAAGCUUGCCGUUUGUUGUGUAUCUUUUUAAGAAACAAGAUCUUUAGGUUUACAUCGAAGACAGCAGAUGAAGUUUACAGUUCUUCACUUUGAAAGCAAAAAUGGUUUAUAACUAUGUGCAGUUAUCAAUACGAAUAUAAUUAGAGUCAUAUCAAUAAUUUAGCAGGAUGUUACGUCAGUACCUAUAACCAGAAACUCUAAAUAUAGAAUAGUUGCUAUAGAAAUUGCAGCUUCAGUGACUCUGUAAGGAAAAAUACAUUUAAAUACCUUCUGUACAUUCAAAAUAUAACGUUGUUUUGUGGGGUGUAAACUUUUUAAAAGUAGUUUUUUUAAAUAAGAAAAUAUAUGUCCAUUAUUUAUUUUUGUUCUGUUUAAUUGAUUUUUGCAAUUUCUGAGGUUGGUCGAGAUCCUCUAUUCCUGGGGUUUUUGACAUUCUGUAACCAUCCACGCUAAGUUCCAGACAUAACGACUCCGCACCCGAAAAGCUUCUUCCCCCAUUCCACUGUUCUCCUAAAUAAGGUCCCAUGAGAAGCUCACUGGCCGCUGGGGCUCCUUCCCACACACACUCACCCACUAUACUUCACACUUCCAUUGACUCCAAGCUUAUUUGCAUAUCUCUCAAACUGCUCGCACCCCACAUCGUGUCUCUCACUUAUUUAUAUGAUUGCAUGUUUGUUUCUUAAUUAACUGCACAUCUUCAUAUUCUCUCUCAUCUUUAUUCAGUAUAUUAUUUUGUGUACGUUUUGCACAAAGCGAAUAAAACGAUCUUGAUUGCUUACAGUUUCACACCUUUUGCAAGCAGAACAGUCUCCAUCUACUGGCACUGAGAAGGAGCGACAGGGUUUGUUCAUAACAUAGAUAUUGUUGAAUAAAAAUGUUGGCAUUACAGCAGGCAAAGAUUUUGAGAGAAACGAAACGUGUGUACUGUAGUAACAGUAAUUCCUUUUAUAUUUAAAUGUGAUUAAACGUAUACAAUCCAAUAAUUAAACGUGUUAACAUGGGCCGUUGUUAGCCAUUGAUUACCUGUGGAGUAAGACGACACAGAUGGAGGCGAAUAGAAAGUAAUGCUUCUUUUAAUAACAUGGCGCGCAAAUCUGAAUUAGAUACAACAUGAUAAAUCUUACCUUUCAGAUUCCUUAUUAUGAGGUAAACACCCAUAGAAGCUGUAAUAUCUGUAACGAUCCUCAUUUGAGACUCUAGUACACAUUUCAUAUCAUUUAUCGAUACAGUUAUUUACUAACGCUCAGGAGUUUUAAUCCGUAGCAUAUAGUCACUAAUCCCCCAAGUAUAAUGGAGAACAUCGAGUACAUAUUAUCGCACCACAAAUAAUUAAAAUGAAUGCAUUUGGGGCUUUUUAAUGAUUAAUCUUUUUUUAAAUAAACCUGACACCUGUUGUAAACAGAUUUUUUUUAAAAGGCUGGGGGCAGCUUUCAUUGAAGUUAAGCUCACAGGAAAUGUAUCCAGUCAUCGACGAACAAGUACAUUGCGUUCAUGUCUGGCUGCUGCUGGAUCCAACCCUCCCUUAUUCAUAAUGGUUUCUGCUGAACAAGUGUGCCCUCUACUGGCAAAUGUCAGUAAUAAUAAAAACAAAAAAAA